CGGGGUGAGUAAUGUCUGGGAAACUGCCUGAUGGAGGGGGAUAACUGCUGGAAACGGUAGCUAAUACCGCAUAACGUCGCAAGACCAAAGAGGGGGACCUUCGGGCCUCUUGCCAUCGGAUGUGCCCAGAUGGGAUUAGCUAGUAGGUGGGGUAACGGCUCACCUAGGCGACGAUCCCUAGCUGGUCUGAGAGGAUGGCCAGCCACACUGGAACUGAGACGCGGUCCAG
This 229-nucleotide ribosomal RNA is filed under the name uncultured bacterium. RNAcentral describes it as "partial 16S ribosomal RNA". It matches the Rfam family "Bacterial small subunit ribosomal RNA", at positions 104 to 334 of the family's 1533-position model. The record is from RNAcentral.